This 689-nucleotide long non-coding RNA is filed under the name Setaria viridis. Its description in RNAcentral is "long non-coding RNA (SVIR_LNC010735)". The record is from RNAcentral. Lineage: Eukaryota; Viridiplantae; Streptophyta; Magnoliopsida; Poales; Poaceae.
CUAUCUCUAUAUGUAACUUGUACUAGACAAUGAAAGGUCAGAUCUUGAUUGACUAAAUUCAGAAUACACAAACUCGUGGAGUUUUGUUUAUGCGUGAGUCUUGAGAGGCUUGCAACACUUGUUCUUUCGAUUCCUGAGGGAGUUGUAGAACGCCGAACUGCGGUUCAUCCAGUUCGUGCCUUCACGUCUAUAGGGCAUGAUUGCGUGGGCUGUUUUGUCGGUACGUGGAAGGGUGAUUGUCUCGGUAGUUCGUCGCGUGGACAGCCUCGUGGUGCACUGCCUCUUCACCAGGUCACGCAACGACAAGUUAUCAAGUUCACGGAUCCUACGAGAAGAUCGGGCCACACAACUUGCUACACGCGUUGCAUAGGCGUGUGCAUAUCAUCUAGUAACAGAGCCUCCGUUUCCUCAGUAGGAUUGUUCUUGUUUUUGGUAGGAUAGAGUUCAUAUACCUACUGUCCACUAAUAGCCAAAAAGAAAACCUACAGCCCAAAUUCAUACGUGCUACUGAUUUUGUAGUUUGCUUUAUCGAGUUUUAAUCCUUUAAGACUUGUCUAGUUGCUGAAUUUUUUUUUCCCACAUCGUUCUAGUUGUUAUCAUUGUUCUAAUCAUCAAAUCGCUUGCUGCAUGUACCCACCCAUCCCACCCUUGUUCUGAUCGUCAUUGCUUGCUGCAUAUAAAAAAAAAAC